Molecule: long non-coding RNA, 1006 nt
Filed under: Sus scrofa (pig)
Lineage: Eukaryota; Metazoa; Chordata; Mammalia; Artiodactyla; Suidae
Description: lncRNA (ENSSSCG00070016942.1)
Source: RNAcentral
UUUUCCGUGGGCGACCCUAGGGCGGAAACUUGGGUUUCAAAUGCGAAACAUUUGUCUCCUGGAAUCACAUCUGGCUUCCAAUGUAUGUUAAGACUUUUCUUAACCGAAAAAGUCAGCGCCUGAAGGACACCCAAGGCUCAAGGCCUUCUGCCCCUCAGCUGUAUCUGCCGCAAAUAGGAAUCAGCCACCUCAAAUUUAUCCUAUUUUACCAUGCGUACUGCUUGUGGGAAGAGAUUAAUUAUUUUGCCUCCUGCCAAGACAAAGUCCUUUAGUGAAAGUGUGGGUAAGUAAUGAAUUUAAAAGAUCAAGAUAGUAGGCAACAGACCAGGUAAAAGGCUGUUACCAAAGAGCAAGAUACUGAAGGAAGGCAAUAGCAUUGGUAGUGGAAAUAGUGAGGGAAGAGUAUACUUGAAGUACAUCUAUGAGACACAAAUGACAGAACUAGACUCAGUGAUUGAAUCAACCUGGAGCAGUGGUGCAGGGAACAUAAUAGAAGGUAGGGAUGCAGGGUUCUGUAUGUAAUUUGGGGUUUUGUUUGUGAUAAGUGAACAGUUAGAGAUGACAUUCAUUGUUGUUCAAGAUACAGAAAGAAGUGUAUAUUUGGGGGAAAAUUUAUGAUUCCUGUCUUAGGCAAAUUGAGUUUGAAGUAGGAGAUAUUAAAGUACUUGGUGUGGGAGUUCCUGUUGUGGCUCAACACGUUAAGAACCUGACACAGUGUCAUUAAGGAUGUGAGUUUGAUCCCUGGCCUUGCUCACUGGGUUAAGGAUCUGGCAUUGCUGCAAGCUGCAGGGUAGGUCACAGAUAUAGCUCAGAUCUGGUGUUGCUGUGACUGUGGCAUAGGCCUGCAGCUACAGCUGUAAUUUGAUCCCUAGCCCUGGAACUUCCAUAUGCUGCAUAUGUGGCCAUAAAAAGAAAAAAAAAAAGGUACUUGGUGUGUAUAUUUAGAAUUUAGGAGAGUGUUCUGGACUGGAGAAGCUAGAUUUGGAGCAGAUCAUUUAGGGACCCU